CCGCCUUCUAAAUACACACACACACACAUUCACUGACAGAUACGCAUACACUCGCUAACAGAAACACACACACACUAACAGACACACUCACUAACAGACACACACUCACUAACACACACACUCACAGGCAAACACACUCACACAGUCAGACACACACACACUCACUGACACACUAACAGACAAACAUAGUCAGACACACACACUAACAGACACACUCGCUCACUAGCAGACACACACACACACACUAACAAACACACACACUCACUGACACACACACACACACACAGGCAAACACACACUCACUGACACACAGUCAGACACACACACAUACACACUAAUAGACACAGUCAGACACACACACACUAACAAAACACACACACAUUAACAGACACACACUCACUCACAUUAACACAUUUUUUUUAUUUAUUUUUAUUUAGCCCCCCCCCCCCUUACCUUUGGGAGUGCUGGGGGGCAGGGGGGUUCAUUACCUCCCUGGUGGUCCAGUGGAU
Molecule: non-coding RNA, 509 nt
Organism: Pelobates cultripes (western spadefoot toad)
Lineage: Eukaryota; Metazoa; Chordata; Amphibia; Anura; Pelobatidae
Source: the annotation of a GenBank genome assembly